RNAcentral lists this ribosomal RNA (520 nucleotides) under uncultured bacterium. Its description in RNAcentral is "bacterial SSU rRNA". It matches the Rfam family "Bacterial small subunit ribosomal RNA", at positions 9 to 518 of the family's 1533-position model. The record is from RNAcentral.
GAGUUGAUCAUGGCUCAGAACGAACGCUGGCGGCGCGUCUUAAGCAUGCAAGUCGAACGGCAAGAGGUAGCAAUACCUCCUAGAGUGGCGGACUGGUGAGUAACACGUGGGUGACAUACCCUUCAGAUGGGGAUAGCUAUUAGAAAUAGUAGAUAAUACCGAAUACGAGCACAGGGGUUAGAGAUCUGUGAGGAAAGGAGCUAAGGCUCCGCUGAAGGAAUGGCCUGCGGCCCAUUAGCUAGUUGGUGAGGUAAGAGCCCACCAAGGCGAUGAUGGGUAUCCGGCCUUAGAGGGUGAACGGACACAUUGGGACUGAGAUACGGCCCAGACUCCUACGGGAGGCAGCAGCUAAGAAUAUUCCGCAAUGGACGAAAGUCUGACGGAGCGACGCCGCCGUGGAUGAAGAAGGCCGGAAGGUUGUAAAAUCCUUUUGAAACUGAAGAAUAAGCGUUGUAGGGAAUGACAGCGUGGUGACAGUAGGUUUUGAAUAAGCAACGGCUAAUUACGUGCCAGCCGCGGC